AACAGGAUUGAGGGAGCAGAGGUAGGGGACAAGUUAGUUACCCCAGCCUUCCCCCCCCCCCCCACUGCCAUUAAUCAUGGCAGUGCACUGUAAGCUAAGAAGUUACCCGAAGUCCGAAAAGGGUGGCGGUGCUUGACGUCACUGUACUACACAGUUCCUUGCCAGCAGCAUGGGAGAAUGGAGGGAAUGUAAGCAGCAGCAUGGCCAAAACAGUGAACGCAGGCUGGGUGACAGGAAGAGGACGUUUGGUGAUGGUAAUUGUCCAUUUUCUGGGAGUGUCAGGAAAAAACGCAGGUGUUCCCAAGCGUUAUCAGGGAGGGUGUGUGACGUCAGCUCCCGCCCCGAUCAGCCUGAUUCUAUCACACUGUAGGAGAAAGUCCUGGGCUACACACAGACUUCAUUCCAUGGAACCUACACACCCCUUUAAAGUCGGAGACAGAGUCGUGGUGAAGGUGCUCCCCAGGAACAAGAGCCCAGGAGACUUCACCUAUGGUCCAGAGACAGAGGUCGUAGCAGUUACCCGAACAGCAGUCCUGACAGAGGAAAGUCCUACCUGGAUCCAUGCAUCCCGAGUAAAAAAAAAAGGU
Pseudophryne corroboree (corroboree frog) is the source of this 587-nucleotide long non-coding RNA. RefSeq lists it as uncharacterized. The transcript has 3 exons. The record is from RefSeq and is a predicted model, not a curated record. NCBI's taxonomy places the organism in Eukaryota, Metazoa, Chordata, Amphibia, Anura, Myobatrachidae.